AUGGUGGCGGCGUGGCCGGAAUCGGUGCCGGAUCUGCGCUGGAGGCUGCAGCAGCGGCUUGCUCAGGGGAGCGCCAUGGUGGGCGCGUGCAUCCGCGUGGGCGGCGUGGCGCGCCGGUCUCUCCCCUGUAGGGCUUCGGGUUGCAGCAGUGGCACGGGUGGCUGCAUGGUGGUGUGCCUGCCCAAGCCCAUGGUGCCAGCAGUUUCUGGCAGCACCGAGGUUGAGGAUGGAUGGGAGAUGGAGUGGUGUGUCUCCGGCCAUGCAGGGGUUGGUUGGUGGUCGGAGUGCUCUCGGUCGUGCGAAGGGUCGGUGUCCCGCGGCGGUUUGAUCUCGAUGGCAAGGUGCAGCGGCAGCAAUGGUGUAACUGCGAAAGUUUGGCCCAAUCUAUUGAUAGAGGUGGGAGGUGUGCGGUGCGGAUGA
This 420-nucleotide ribosomal RNA is filed under the name Triticum aestivum (bread wheat). Its description in RNAcentral is "partial small subunit ribosomal RNA". The record is from RNAcentral. Lineage: Eukaryota; Viridiplantae; Streptophyta; Magnoliopsida; Poales; Poaceae.